RNAcentral lists this small RNA (27 nucleotides) under Bombyx mori (domestic silkworm). RNAcentral describes it as "ovarian small RNA-32348". Lineage: Eukaryota; Metazoa; Arthropoda; Insecta; Lepidoptera; Bombycidae. The record is from RNAcentral.
UGAUAAGAUUGUUGCGCAGCUCAGCCC